UCUCCGUAGGUGAACCUGCGGAGGGAUCAUUACAGAGUUUUUGCCCGCAAGGGUAGAUCUCCCACCCUAUGUUAUUCCUUCUCUGUUGCUUUGGCGGGCCGUCCGGCCUCGGUCAGGCCACCGGCUCCGGCUGGUGCGCGCCCGCCAGAGGACCCCAAACCCUAAAUGUCAGUGUCGUCUGAGUACUAUAUAAUAGUUAAAACUUUCAACAACGGAUCUCUUGGUUCUG
RNAcentral lists this unclassified non-coding RNA (229 nucleotides) under plant metagenome. RNAcentral describes it as "partial contains small subunit ribosomal RNA, internal transcribed spacer 1, and 5.8S ribosomal RNA". The record is from RNAcentral.